Brassica napus (rape) is the source of this 118-nucleotide ribosomal RNA. The record is from RefSeq and is a predicted model, not a curated record. NCBI's taxonomy places the organism in Eukaryota, Viridiplantae, Streptophyta, Magnoliopsida, Brassicales, Brassicaceae.
GGGUGCGAUCAUACCAACACUAAUGCACCGGAUCCCAUUAGAACUCCGCAGUUAAGCGUGCACGGGCUAGAGUAGUACUAUGAUGGGUGACCUCCCGGGAAAUCCUCGGUUGCACCCG